This 442-nucleotide ribosomal RNA is filed under the name uncultured bacterium. RNAcentral's name for it is "partial 16S ribosomal RNA". It matches the Rfam family "Bacterial small subunit ribosomal RNA", at positions 338 to 795 of the family's 1533-position model. The record is from RNAcentral.
CCUACGGGAGGCAGCAGUAGGGAAUCUUUCACAAUGGGCGAAAGCCUGAUGGAGCAACGCCGCGUGCAGGAUGAAGGCCUUCGGGUUGUAAACUGCUUUUAUAAGCGAGAAAUAUGAUGGUAACUUAUGAAUAAGGAUCGGCUAACUACGUGCCAGCAGCCGCGGUCAUACGUAGGAUCCGAGCAUUAUCCGGAGUGACUGGGUGUAAAGAGUUGCGUAGGUGGCAGAAUAAGUAGCUAGUGAAAUCUGGUGGCUCAACCAUUCAGACUAUUAGCUAAACUGUUAAGCUCGAGACCGUUAGGGGUAACUGGAAUUUCUAGUGUAGGAGUGAAAUCCGUAGAUAUUAGAAGGAACACCAAUAGCGUAGGCAGGUUGCUGGGACGGGUCUGACACUAAGGCACGAAAGCGUAGGGAGCAAACGGGAUUAGAUACCCUUGUAGUC